UGGGGAAUAUUGCACAAUGGGCGCAAGCCUGAUGCAGCAACGCCGCGUGAACGAUGAAGGUCUUCGGAUCGUAAAGUUCUGUUGCAGGGGAAGAUAAUGACGGUACCCUGUGAGGAAGCCCCGGCUAACUACGUGCCAGCAGCCGCGGUAAUACGUAGGGGGCGAGCGUUAUCCGGAUUCAUUGGGCGUAAAGCGCGCGCAGGCGGCUCUUCAAGCGGAACCUCUAACCCCGGGGCUCAACCUCGGGCCGGGUUCCGAACUGGAGGGCUCGAGUGCGGUAGAGGCAGGCGGAAUUCCCGGUGUAGCGGUGGAAUGCGCAGAUAUCGGGAAGAACACCGAUGGCGAAGGCAGCCUGCUGGGCCGGCACUGACGCUGAGGCGCGAAAGCUAGGGGAGCGAACAGG
This 403-nucleotide ribosomal RNA is filed under the name Verrucomicrobiota bacterium. RNAcentral describes it as "Verrucomicrobia bacterium partial 16S ribosomal RNA". It matches the Rfam family "Bacterial small subunit ribosomal RNA", at positions 355 to 776 of the family's 1533-position model. Lineage: Bacteria; Pseudomonadati; Verrucomicrobiota. The record is from RNAcentral.